RNAcentral lists this transfer RNA (87 nucleotides) under Clostridiales bacterium. Its description in RNAcentral is "tRNA-Leu". It matches the Rfam family "tRNA". From Rfam's summary of the family: Transfer RNA (tRNA) molecules are approximately 80 nucleotides in length. Their secondary structure includes four short double-helical elements and three loops (D, anti-codon, and T loops). Lineage: Bacteria; Bacillati; Bacillota; Clostridia; Eubacteriales. The record is from RNAcentral.
GCCCGAAUGGCGGAAUUGGCAGACGCGCUGGACUUAGAAUCCAGUAGGUUCACCCCUGUGCAGGUUCAAAUCCUGUUUCGGGCACCA